This 301-nucleotide ribosomal RNA is filed under the name uncultured bacterium. RNAcentral's name for it is "partial 16S ribosomal RNA". It matches the Rfam family "Bacterial small subunit ribosomal RNA", at positions 509 to 807 of the family's 1533-position model. The record is from RNAcentral.
CAGUAGCCACGGUAAUACGGAGGGGGCUAGCGUUGUUCGGAUUUACUGGGCGUAAAGCGCACGUAGGCGGAUCGAUCAGUCAGGGGUGAAAUCCCAGAGCUCAACUCUGGAACUGCCUUUGAUACUGUCGAUCUGGAGUAUGGAAGAGGUGAGUGGAAUUCCGAGUGUAGAGGUGAAAUUCGUAGAUAUUCGGAGGAACACCAGUGGCGAAGGCGGCUCACUGGUCCAUUACUGACGCUGAGGUGCGAAAGCGUGGGGAGCAAACAGGAUUAGAUACCCGCGUAGUCCCUGUCUCUUAUAC